GCACUAAAUUUCCUUUUGCCCAAAACACCAGGGCAACAGCAAGUCGGAUCAUCCCACAAGCGAAACAAUACCAAGCAACAACACGCAAAAUUGAAUCUUUUUGCGCGAAAAGAAGAAUAAACCAAGCAAGAUAGCAUGAACAAAGCAAGAACACACGAAUCGCCGCAUCCAAGGGCUCACGGAGACGUACCACUUCCACAGAUCGCUUCCUCUUGAGCUUCAUCUCGAAAUUCGCAUUGCCCGGGCGAAAGCUCAACGCAAGAACCGCGGAGCGGAGUAGGGUUUCUCCGAUAUCGGAACGAUAUCAGGAGAAAAUUGGUAUACACAUAUAAUCAGUAGAGAGGGAGCGCCUGGGAGAGGGGAAACCCUAGAUAACGCCCCAACCACGGCGCUACCUCGUCUUUGUCCUCGUAGUCUUCUUCCUCGCGAGAAAGCGAGUGAGCGAGACAGAAAGAGGGGAGAGAUCAGGAGAGGCCGCAAGGGCAAGAGAGAGAGAGAGAGAGAGAGAGAGAGAGUUUGUUGAGGGUUUCGUCGAGCGGUCGGUGUGGAGGGGGGAGCGGGGCGGUGAUCGGUUUAGGAAUUAGAGGAGAGUGGCGGAGAGCCUGAGAGAGAGAGAGAGAGAGAGAGAGAAACGGGAUGUUAGAUGCAAUACUACAAAACGAGAGCAAAUGUGAUUUGUAUAAUAUCUUUACAUGACAUGAGUGUAUGAUAUACACCUUUAAUCCAAGAAUUAAUAAAGCCUUUGGAGUUUUUAUUUAUUUAUUUUUUUUUCACAAGAGCAAAUGCUACCUAUACAUCUCAUUUGAAAUAUAUAUUAAACAUCAAUCAUAUCAAGUGACUAGUGAAAGCACCCUACCCAUCGGAUGGGUGGGGUGUAACUUGUACACCCACAAUGAGAUGUACAAAUAGCAUUUUCCUUUUCACAGGAGGUGCAUACACGCCCUUAAUCCAAGGGUUGAUAAAGCUUUUAUAGAUUUAGUAUAAAGAAUUAUGUUGUAUUUAGUUGGCCAUAAGAUAUAUAAAAAUUACUUUUCGAUUGAAAAUUUUAUUUUUUUUCUGUGUUUGUUUAGCUGUAAAAGUUUUUUUCAAAAAACUAUUUUUACAGAUUUAAAAAAAUAAAGUAUUUUCAUUUUUCGCUGAAAAUCGCUAGAAAAAAAAACUCAAGCUGCAUACAAUUUUUUUUAUUGAUUUUUUUCCACCAGAACCAAACAAAUGUGAUUUGUUUUCUUUCACCUAAAUAAAUGCUAAUGAAAAACUUAUGUUUUUCUACAAAUCAAACACUAUAAAACAUGAAAC
Molecule: long non-coding RNA, 1296 nt
Filed under: Ananas comosus (pineapple)
Lineage: Eukaryota; Viridiplantae; Streptophyta; Magnoliopsida; Poales; Bromeliaceae
Description: long non-coding RNA (ACOM_LNC028277)
Source: RNAcentral